GGGCGUGAUGCCACGUUAGGGGGCGUGGCCACGAUUUUGGGUCGAGCCGCCAUCUUAGUAGGCCAAACAAAGGGCUACAGGAGCGAAAGCACACGGAAACAUCAGCUUUUGUCGGUUGCAAUGUUAGAUCGCACGAUCGGGAAGGGAAUAAGCUGGAAAAUGGGCUCUCUUUUUAUCGUUUCCCCUCCUGGAAGCAACGUGAGGGAUCUCGUGUAUCUGAUAUUACCAAACGAAGACGUCAGGCUUGGAUAGCAGCGGUGAGACGAGCUGAUUUCGAGUCUCUGCCAUCAGGCAGGGAUGUUUUAAAGUGCUUUAUAAAUAAAGUUGGAUUGGAUUUGAGUAGAAUUAGAUAUAAGGAGAAUAUAAUAUAUUCAAUUCAGCGUAGCCUCCUAGAAGAGUCUGAUAGACCGAGUGCAGUUCAUGAUUCAAGACGUACCUGAUCUUCUCUGGCAGACUGGACUUUCAAAGUCACCAUCAGAAAGCUCCUCUGGUUCCUCCUGAGGGAAAAAAGCAUGUUCUGCAUCAAAUCUAAUCCAGUUGCACCAAAUCCCCGGUAACACAGAGCCACAUGCCUGCACUAAAAACUGUUUACACCUGAUAAAAGUGCAAUAUUAAUUAUGAAAAAUAAGUUAAAGGAACAGACUCACUCACUCACACACAAAAAAAAAAAGUGAAAAAUCAAAUGCAAAGCCAUCAACUGCAUUAAAGUGUUCCCACCAGCUCUGUAACUUGUGUUAAAAGAGCACCUUCUGCAACAAAUGUAAAUUUUCUGUAUUUUCAAAUAAAUGAACCAAACAUAUUAAAGAUUUGGAUUUGGUACCUGGAAGAAAUCCAUAUACAGCAAUGCCUGUUCCACAUUUCACAAAAAACUACAGCAAUAAUGACAAAAGGCAUCAAACAUUUAAAGUGUUUAUUGAGCAAAAUAACAAACCAAUAAAAAAUAAUAUUACUUGGAAUAUUUGAUGAUGGAGGAAAUCAGAUUUGGCCUGAAUUUCAGCUCAUGUGUCCACAAAUACAAUGUGUUGGAAAUCAAAGCGUUACCUCAUAUGAAGGGUUGGAGUUUGUCCUGAAUGCCUUGUGAGGCAGAGGCACUUUAGACGGAGGCUCAAGAUAGCAGCACGUGGCGAUAACAUGGGCGUAUCAGCUGCAUCGCCACUUAGGAAGGUCCAGUGUUUGCGUGCUGGACUGGUGUUUGCA
Molecule: long non-coding RNA, 1197 nt
Organism: Oreochromis niloticus (Nile tilapia)
Lineage: Eukaryota; Metazoa; Chordata; Actinopteri; Cichliformes; Cichlidae
Exons: 2
Source: RefSeq, a predicted model, not a curated record